GAUGAAGAACGCAGCGAAAUGCGAUAAGUAAUGCGAAUUGCAGAAUUCAGUGAAUCAUCGAAUCUUUGAACGCACAUUGCGCCCGCCAGUAUUCUGGCGGGCAUGCCUGUUCGAGCGUCAUUUCAACCAUCAAGCCCCCGGCUUGUGUUGGGGACCUGCGGCUGCCGCAGGCCCUGAAAACCAGUGGCGGGCUCGCUGUCACACCGAGCGUAGUAGAUUUUCAUCUCGCUCAGGGCGUGCUGCGGGUUCCGGCCGUAAAAAGCCUUAUUUACCCAAGGUUGACCUCGGAUCAGGUAGGAAGACCCGCUGAACUUAAGCAUAUCAAUAAGCGGAGGA
Molecule: unclassified non-coding RNA, 336 nt
Filed under: soil metagenome
Description: partial contains 5.8S ribosomal RNA, internal transcribed spacer 2, and large subunit ribosomal RNA
Rfam family: 5.8S ribosomal RNA (bases 1-120)
Source: RNAcentral